CACCAGCUUUGAGGCAUCUGCUCCCAGCAAAAGGUUAAACCAGUUACUAUCAGGCAUCGGCCGCAGGAUUCUAUAGUACAAUCAAAAGAUUACAAUACAAUGAAUGCACCGACAAAAGUGAGAUCUCCAUCAGAUACCACUCGUUCAAAGUUCAUUGGCAAGGCUAUAAUGCCAAGGCAAGUACAGGCAAUAUAAUGAGCUGGCAGAGUAUAUUUGCCGAAGCCGGCACAGUGGUUACAAAUCUAUCUUUUUAAUUUCCUUUAUCCCCAUGAUGCACUUAUGCACUACUGCCUACUGUUACAGCAAAGACAAGACUUUUUUGCCCCCCGUAUAGCUUAACAAACUUUGCACAAAAUGGAUGCUCAAGGGAAGAAAAGCAAAGGCAAGGCUCACCUGCUGAUCCUCUGGGGCUCGUUCUCCGAGGACAUGACGAUCACCGGGAUGGGUUUCAGGGGGCUCAGCGCCUGAAAACAUCCAUGGAAAUUAUGGAAAUUGCAAGAGCAAAUACUCCAGUAUAUACGAGCACGAGGGUCACUCAUAACACAAGUGCGAAAGAAAAAAAUAUGCAGUGAUCAAUUUUUUACCUUGAUGGCUUUGAGAAGGUCGUACCCUGUCAUCUCCGGCAUGCAGUAGUCAGUGAGCACCAUGUCGAUGUCCUGCUGCUCCUGCAAAACCCCACAGGUGAAACCAAUUAAUUAGCCUAAUCCAAGAAACAGCUUUUUUCUAACCGUGCCUUUUACUACAGGUUUCGUGUCAUCUAGCUGCCAGACAGCCUUGGCAGGGCCGCUGUUAAACCCUCACGCGCGCAUGCGCGAGCACCCCGUACGUACGGUACGGUGGUCGGCCGGCGUGCCACCGGCUGGCGGUGCGCCACCGUGGCGCCAUUGGCCAGAGGCAAGGAAAAAAAGAAGAAAAACUCAGCUGUUGUUUUGCAGUAUAAUCUUACCUUGCCGUCCUUCAAGCCGAGGAACUCCAUGGCCUUCUUGGCGCUGUCGACGGCGAUAACUGUAUGAAAUCAAGCUAUGGUUCAGAUUGUAGUACUAAUGGAAUCAUCAUGGCGCAGAAACACCACAAGAAUGAGAAAGGAAGACCAAAAACAGAGUUCGGAGAUGGAACGAUGGAUUUUGCAGCCGCUUUUGUACUUUGCACACAUGCUCGCUCUCCAGGACAAAAGAAGAAAAGAAGCAUCGAUUUACUUUUCCUUUUCUUUCUUUAGACAGAUUAUUUCCUUCUUCUUUUUUAACUUGCGAACCGAACCGCGAAAUGGAAACAAGCAAACAGAGCAAUAGCACGGGAGGCAAGGCAAAUAAGAAAGCGUCGUCCGGCGGAAAUUUCAGCAUGGGCAGCAAAUGAAAUUGAACCGCCGCCA
Molecule: long non-coding RNA, 1369 nt
Organism: Brachypodium distachyon (stiff brome)
Lineage: Eukaryota; Viridiplantae; Streptophyta; Magnoliopsida; Poales; Poaceae
Exons: 2
Source: RefSeq, a predicted model, not a curated record